RNAcentral lists this ribosomal RNA (428 nucleotides) under Bacteroidota bacterium. RNAcentral's name for it is "Bacteroidetes bacterium partial 16S ribosomal RNA". It matches the Rfam family "Bacterial small subunit ribosomal RNA", at positions 355 to 776 of the family's 1533-position model. Lineage: Bacteria; Pseudomonadati; Bacteroidota. The record is from RNAcentral.
UAGGGAAUCUUCGGCAAUGGGGGGAACCCUGACCGAGCAACGCCGCGUGAGUGAAGAAGGAUUUCGGUUCGUAAAACUCUGUUGUUAGAGAAGAACAGCGCAUAGAGUAACUGUUAUGCGUGUGACGGUAUCUAACCAGAAAGCCACGGCUAACUACGUGCCAGCAGCCGCGGUAAUACGUAGGUGGCAAGCGUUGUCCGGAUUUAUUGGGCGUAAAGCGAGCGCAGGCGGUCAAUUAAGUCUGAUGUGAAAGCCCCCGGCUCAACCGGGAGGGUCAUUGGAAACUGGUUGACUUGAGUGCAGAAGAGGAGAGUGGAAUUCCAUGUGUAGCGGUGAAAUGCGUAGAUAUAUGGAGGAACACCAGUGGCGAAGGCGACUCUCUGGUCUGUAACUGACGCUGAGGCUCGAAAGCGUGGGUAGCAAACAGG